GACGAACGCUGGCGGCGUGCCUAAUACAUGCAAGUUGAGCGCUGAAGGUUGGUACUUGUACCAACUGGAUGAGCAGCGAACGGGUGAGUAACGCGUGGGGAAUCUGCCUUUGAGCGGGGGACAACAUCUGGAAACGAAUGCUAAUACCGCAUAAAAACUUUAAACACAAGUUUUAAGUUUGAAAGAUGCAAUUGCAUCACUCAAAGAUGAUCCCGCGUUGUUUUAGCUAGUUGGUGAGGUAAAGGCUCACCAAGGCGAUGAUACAUAGCCGACCUGAGAGGGUGAUCGGCCACAUUGGGACUGAGACACGGCCCAAACUCCUACGGGAGGCAGCAGUAGGGAAUCUUCGGCAAUGGACGAAAGUCUGACCGAGCAACGCCGCGUGAGUGAAGAAGGUUUUCGGAUCGUAAAACUCUGUUGGUAGAGAAGAACGUUGGUGAGAGUGGAAAGCUCAUCAAGUGACGGUAACUACCCAGAAAGGGACGGCUAACUACGUG
Molecule: ribosomal RNA, 497 nt
Filed under: uncultured bacterium
Lineage: Bacteria
Description: partial 16S ribosomal RNA
Rfam family: Bacterial small subunit ribosomal RNA
Source: RNAcentral